RNAcentral lists this ribosomal RNA (1071 nucleotides) under Klebsiella pneumoniae. Its description in RNAcentral is "partial 23S ribosomal RNA". It matches the Rfam family "Bacterial large subunit ribosomal RNA", at positions 146 to 1258 of the family's 2925-position model. Lineage: Bacteria; Pseudomonadati; Pseudomonadota; Gammaproteobacteria; Enterobacterales; Enterobacteriaceae. The record is from RNAcentral.
CACUAUCGUUAACUGAAUACAUAGGUUAACGAGGCGAACCGGGGGAACUGAAACAUCUAAGUACCCCGAGGAAAAGAAAUCAACCGAGAUUCCCCCAGUAGCGGCGAGCGAACGGGGAGCAGCCCAGAGUCUGAAUCAGCUUGUGUGUUAGUGGAACGGUCUGGAAAGUCCGACGGUACAGGGUGAUAGUCCCGUACACCAAAAUGCACAGGCUGUGAACUCGAAGAGUAGGGCGGGACACGUGGUAUCCUGUCUGAAUAUGGGGGGACCAUCCUCCAAGGCUAAAUACUCCUGACUGACCGAUAGUGAACCAGUACCGUGAGGGAAAGGCGAAAAGAACCCCGGCGAGGGGAGUGAAAAAGAACCUGAAACCGUGUACGUACAAGCAGUGGGAGCACCUUCGGGUGUGACUGCGUACCUUUUGUAUAAUGGGUCAGCGACUUAUAUUCUGUAGCAAGGUUAACCGUAUAGGGGAGCCGCAGGGAAACCGAGUCUUAACUGGGCGUUAAGUUGCAGGGUAUAGACCCGAAACCCGGUGAUCUAGCCAUGGGCAGGUUGAAGGUUGGGUAACACUAACUGGAGGACCGAACCGACUAAUGUUGAAAAAUUAGCGGAUGACUUGUGGCUGGGGGUGAAAGGCCAAUCAAACCGGGAGAUAGCUGGUUCUCCCCGAAAGCUAUUUAGGUAGCGCCUCGUGAACUCAUCUCCGGGGGUAGAGCACUGUUUCGGCUAGGGGGUCAUCCCGACUUACCAACCCGAUGCAAACUACGACUACCGAAGAAUGUUAUCACGGGAGACACACGGCGGGUGCUAACGUCCGUCGUGAAGAGGGAAACAACCCAGACCGCCAGCUAAGGUCCCAAAGUCAUGGUUAAGUGGGAAACGAUGUGGGAAGGCACAGACAGCCAGGAUGUUGGCUUAGAAGCAGCCAUCAUUUAAAGAAAGCGUAAUAGCUCACUGGUCGAGUCGGCCUGCGCGGAAGAUGUAACGGGGCUAAACCAUGCACCGAAGCUGCGGCAGCGACACUAUGUGUUGUUGGGUAGGGGAGCGUUCUGUAAGCCUGCGAAGGUG